GCGGGCGUGAUGUAGUGGUAGCAUAUAAGCUUCCCAAGCUUAGCGUGUGGGUUCGAUUCCCAUCGCCCGCU
This 71-nucleotide transfer RNA is filed under the name Deltaproteobacteria bacterium. RNAcentral describes it as "tRNA-Gly". It matches the Rfam family "tRNA". Rfam says of the family: Transfer RNA (tRNA) molecules are approximately 80 nucleotides in length. Lineage: Bacteria; Pseudomonadati; Myxococcota; Myxococcia. The record is from RNAcentral.